Molecule: ribosomal RNA, 253 nt
Filed under: uncultured bacterium
Lineage: Bacteria
Description: partial 16S ribosomal RNA
Rfam family: Bacterial small subunit ribosomal RNA
Source: RNAcentral
UACGGAGGAUGCAAGCGUUAUCCGGAAUCAUUGGGCGUAAAGCGUCCGCAGGUGGCACUUCAAGUCUGCCGUCAAAGACCGUAGCUCAACUACGGAAAGGCGGUGGAAACUGAAGCGCUAGAGUGCAGUAGGGGUAGAGGGAAUUCCCAGUGUAGCGGUGAAAUGCGUAGAGAUUGGGAAGAACACCGGUGGCGAAAGCGCUCUGCUGGACUGCAACUGACACUCAUGGACGAAAGCUAGGGGAGCGAAUGGG